This 506-nucleotide ribosomal RNA is filed under the name uncultured bacterium. RNAcentral's name for it is "partial 16S ribosomal RNA". It matches the Rfam family "Bacterial small subunit ribosomal RNA", at positions 30 to 523 of the family's 1533-position model. The record is from RNAcentral.
AUUGAACGCUGGCGGCAGGCUUAACACAUGCAAGUCGAGCGGUAACAGAGAGAAGCUUGCUUCUCUGCUGACGAGCGGCGGACGGGUGAGUAAUGCCUAGGAAUCUGCCUAGUAGUGGGGGAUAACUUGCCGAAAGGUAAGCUAAUACCGCAUACGUCCUACGGGAGAAAGGAGGGGACCUUCGGGCCUUUCGCUAUUAGAUGAGCCUAGGUCGGAUUAGUUAGUUGGUGAGGUAAGGGCUCACCAAGACCGCGAUCCGUAACUGGUCUGAGAGGAUGAUCAGUCACAUUGGAACUGAGACACGGUCCAGACUCCUACGGGAGGCAGCAGUGGGGAAUAUUGGACAAUGGGGGGAACCCUGAUCCAGCCAUGCCGCGUGUGUGAAGAAGGUCUUAGGAUUGUAAAGCACUUUAAGUUGGGAGGAAGAGGAGUUAACUAAUAUUUGACUGUUUUGACGUUACCGACAGAAUAAGCACCGGCUAACUUCGUGCCAGCCGCCGCCGUAA